GUGAACCUCCUAAGAAGUUUUACUAUCCACCUUCAUCCAUUCAUCAUUCAUUAUGUCCUAGACUUUUCACACUUUAUCUUUCAAACUUGACAUAAAUGUUGUGCAAACAUCUUCAUGUUUUUCUAACUAAAAACCUGGACUCAAGUCCUUGACUUUUUUCAAACUCAUUUCAUAAUACUUCUUUCGAAUCAAUCUUAAUCAUACU
Molecule: long non-coding RNA, 205 nt
Filed under: Lathyrus oleraceus (garden pea)
Lineage: Eukaryota; Viridiplantae; Streptophyta; Magnoliopsida; Fabales; Fabaceae
Description: Pisum sativum (pea) long non-coding RNA (PSAT_LNC010186)
Source: RNAcentral